CCUACGGGAGGCAGCAGUGGGGAAUAUUGCACAAUGGGGGAAACCCUGAUGCAGCGACGCCGCGUGAAGGAAGAAGUAUUUAGGUAUGUUAACUUCUAUCAGCAGGGAAGAAAAUGACGGUACCUGACUAAGAAGCCGCGGCUAACUACGUGCCAGCUGGCGCGGUAAUACAUAGGGGGCAAGCGUUAUCCGGAUUUACCGGGGGUAAAGGGGGCGUAGGCGGCGAUGCAAGUCAGAAGUGAAAGCCCGGGGCUCAACUCCGGGACUGCUGUUGAAACUGUGUUGCUAGAUUGCAGGAGAGGUAAGUGGAAUUCCUAGUGUAGCGGUGAAAUGCGUAGAUAUUAGGAGGAACACCAGUGGCGAAGGCGGCUUACUGGACCGUAAAUGACGCUGAGGCUCGAAAGCGUGGGGAGCAAACAGGAUUAGAUACCCGUGUAGUC
RNAcentral lists this ribosomal RNA (440 nucleotides) under uncultured bacterium. RNAcentral describes it as "partial 16S ribosomal RNA". It matches the Rfam family "Bacterial small subunit ribosomal RNA", at positions 338 to 795 of the family's 1533-position model. The record is from RNAcentral.